AGACCAUGAUGUGGCCAUUUCCUUAAUUACUCCUUGAACUUUUCCCAUGUCUUGUACAAAGAUUCCUGUCUUCUUGAGAGUAUGAGUUAAUUUCGGUCAUGAGUUU
RNAcentral lists this small nucleolar RNA (106 nucleotides) under Helianthus annuus (common sunflower). Its description in RNAcentral is "Plant small nucleolar RNA R71". It matches the Rfam family "Plant small nucleolar RNA R71". Rfam says of the family: R71 is a member of the C/D box family of snoRNAs containing the C (UGAUGA) and D (CUGA) box motifs. Multiple nearly identical copies of this snoRNA have been identified in Arabidopsis, and it is thought to function as a 2'-O-ribose methylation guide for 18S ribosomal RNA. Lineage: Eukaryota; Viridiplantae; Streptophyta; Magnoliopsida; Asterales; Asteraceae. The record is from RNAcentral.